GCGUCUGUAGCUCAGCUGGAUAGAGCAUCUGCCUUCUAAGCAGAGGGUCGAGCGUUCGAAUCGCUCCAGGCGUA
RNAcentral lists this transfer RNA (74 nucleotides) under bacterium. RNAcentral's name for it is "tRNA-Arg". It matches the Rfam family "tRNA". Rfam says of the family: Transfer RNA (tRNA) molecules are approximately 80 nucleotides in length. Their secondary structure includes four short double-helical elements and three loops (D, anti-codon, and T loops). The record is from RNAcentral.